RNAcentral lists this ribosomal RNA (377 nucleotides) under uncultured eukaryote. RNAcentral describes it as "partial 18S ribosomal RNA". It matches the Rfam family "Eukaryotic small subunit ribosomal RNA", at positions 592 to 976 of the family's 1831-position model. The record is from RNAcentral.
CAAUAGCGUAUAUUAAAGUUGUUGCAGUUAAAAAGCUCGUAGUUGGAUUUCGGGGCAGCCUGGCUGGUCCGCCGCAAGGCGAGUACUGGUCAGCCGCCCUUCCUCUCGAAAGCCCCGACUGCUCUUUAUUGCAGUGGUCGGGUAGUUCGGGACGUUUACUUUGAAAAAAUUAGAGUGUUCAAGGCAGGCCUACGCCUGAAUACAUUAGCAUGGAAUAAUGGAAGAGGACCUCGGUCCUAAUUUGUUGGUUUCCAGGACCGAAGUAAUGAUUAAGAGGGACAGUUGGGGGCAUUCGUAUUUAAUUGUCAGAGGUGAAAUUCUCGGAUUUAUGAAAGACGAACAACUGCGAAAGCAUUUGCCAAGGAUGUUUUCAUUAA